Molecule: ribosomal RNA, 483 nt
Filed under: uncultured bacterium
Lineage: Bacteria
Description: partial 16S ribosomal RNA
Rfam family: Bacterial small subunit ribosomal RNA
Source: RNAcentral
GAUGAACGCUGGCGGCGUGCCUAACACAUGCAAGUCGAACGGAGUCGUUUUGGAAAUCUCUUCGGAGAUGGAAUUCUCGACUUAGUGGCGGACGGGUGAGUAACGCGUGAGCAAUCUGCCUUUAAGAGGGGGAUAACAGUCGGAAACGGCUGCUAAUACCGCAUAAAGCAUUAAAUUCGCAUGUUUUUGAUGCCAAAGGAGCAAUCCGCUUUUAGAUGAGCUCGCGUCUGAUUAGCUAGUUGGCGGGGUAACGGCCCACCAAGGCGACGAUCAGUAGCCGGACUGAGAGGUUGAACGGCCACAUUGGGACUGAGACACGGCCAAGACUCCUACGGUAGGCAGCAGUGGGGAAUAUUGCGCAAUGGGGGAAACCCUGACGCAGCAACGCCGCGUGAUUGAAGAAGGCCUUCGGGGUGUAAAGAUCUUUAAUCAGGGACGAAACAAAUGACGGUACCUGAAGAAUAAGCGCCGGCUAACUACGUG